GACGAACGCUGGCGGCGUGCUUAACACAUGCAAGUCGAACGGAAAGGCCCUGCUUUUGUGGGGUGCUCGAGUGGCGAACGGGUGAGUAACACGUGAGUAACCUGCCCUUGACUUUGGGAUAACUUCGGGAAACUGGGGCUAAUACCGGAUAGGAGCUCCUGCUGCAUGGUGGGGGUUGGAAAGUUUCGGCGGUUGGGGAUGGACUCGCGGCUUAUCAGCUUGUUGGUGGGGUAGUGGCUUACCAAGGCUUUGACGGGUAGCCGGCCUGAGAGGUGACCGGCCACAUUGGGACUGAGAUACGGCCCAGACUCCUACGGGAGGCAGCAGUGGGGAAUAUUGCACAAUGGGCGGAAGCCUGAUGCAGCAACGCCGCGUGCGGGAUGACGGCCUUCGGGUUGUAAACCGCUUUCGCCUGUGACGAAGCGUGAGUGACGGUAAUGGGUAAAGAAGCACCGGCUAACUACGUG
This 467-nucleotide ribosomal RNA is filed under the name uncultured bacterium. Its description in RNAcentral is "partial 16S ribosomal RNA". It matches the Rfam family "Bacterial small subunit ribosomal RNA", at positions 28 to 507 of the family's 1533-position model. The record is from RNAcentral.